Molecule: long non-coding RNA, 1197 nt
Filed under: Felis catus (domestic cat)
Lineage: Eukaryota; Metazoa; Chordata; Mammalia; Carnivora; Felidae
Description: lncRNA (ENSFCAG00000053134.1)
Source: RNAcentral
AUGUACACACUUCAUAAAGCAAAGGACACAGUGCAAAUGUCCCAUCAGCCUUACGCUGGGGAAGCGCAAAGGGGUAUCGUCAGGCGGGCGAGAUCAUUUCCUCCACCGGUUGAUCUAGAAGUUAACAACUUUCUCCUGCAGCCCGGCCGCCGAAUCCUCUCUUGUAAAGUUCAGUUCAGAAAACAGGGGGUUCGGGGCAAUCCCAGCCAGGGGAAAAGCACUUCCGACGGGGAGCCUCUGGCACCGCGCCCCCGGAGAACCCGUCUCCUCCAACGGGGGCUCCCCGGGGCGCGGGCAGCCUUCCGGGGAGGCGCCGGCUCUCGCCCCCACAGGCUGAAGCGGGAAGGACUCUCCGCGCCCUCCCCCGCGCCCCUGCUCGCACCCCCCCCCCACCCUCCCCCACCCCUCCGUCCCGGCCCGCCCGGCGCCUCGCUCCCGCGUACUCACUGGGGGCCGCCGCCCGCCGGCUGGGCCGCCGCCGCCUCCGGCACCCCCUCCAUCCCGCGGCGCGGCCCUGCUCCGGCCCUCUGCCCUCCGGCCCCGCCGUGCGGUGUGGGGUGCGGGCCGCCGCCUGCCUGCGGGGUCCGAGGGCCAAGCGGGCGCGGCCCGGGCUGGAAGGAAGCGGCAUGGGCUGCCAGGUCCCGGCUCUGCCCGCGCGGAGAGAGGCCGAGCCGGGCGCGCCCCGGGCCGGGAGCGGAGAGAGGGAGCGCGGAGGGCAGAAAGGCGGGGCGGCGGAAGGGGCUGGAGGAGCGGGACCGGGCCCCCACCCAGGCCUCCGCCGCCCUCCGCUCGCCUCCUUCUCGCGGCCGCGGCGGCGGGGCGUCCCAAGGGCGGGAGGACGAGCGGGGCCCGGGCGCCGGGGGACCGACCCCUUGGCGCGGGGCCGGGCCAGGCUUCGGGGCGUGCGCAGCGGGGGACGCGGCUCCACGCGGGCGAGGGCCAGGAAGACCUCGCGUUCCUCCCCGGCUCCCCGGGGAAGCGUGCAACUCCACACCCGGGGCUUGGGGAGCAGGCUCGGCUGUCCCGGGGGAAGCUAAGGAAUGCCCUUUGUUUAGACAACUUUUCCCGAGGUCUCGGUCCGCCCUCCCCGAGGUGCCCUUUCCAGACGCUCGCGGGUACCCGGAGUGGAGGCGGGCUCCCUCAUCCUGCCCGGUCAGGGGGAGAGCCUGGUCCCUGCGUUGCCAGCCCCUGGGAUAG